Molecule: ribosomal RNA, 253 nt
Filed under: uncultured bacterium
Lineage: Bacteria
Description: partial 16S ribosomal RNA
Rfam family: Bacterial small subunit ribosomal RNA
Source: RNAcentral
UACGAAGGGGGGCGAGCGUUGUUCGGAUUUACUGGGCGUAAAGGGCGCGUAGGCGCCUGUCAGUCAGGCGUGAAAGCCCCGGGCUCAACCUGGGAACGGCGCUUGGGACGGCGAGGCUGGAGUUCGGGAGAGGAGAGUGGAAUUCCCAGUGUAGAGGUGAAAUUCGUAGAUAUUGGGAAGAACACCGGUGGCGAAGGCGGCUCUCUGGACCGACACUGACGCUGAGGCGCGAAAGCGUGGGGAGCAAACAGGG